This is a long non-coding RNA of Ictalurus punctatus (channel catfish), 5715 nucleotides long. Lineage: Eukaryota; Metazoa; Chordata; Actinopteri; Siluriformes; Ictaluridae. The record is from Ensembl.
AUUAUUUUAAGAUGAACAUUUCUGAUUAUUUAAAUGACCAGCCCUCGGGGGCCCUCUCAGUAUGCGGGGCCCCAGGUAUUUACUUGUCUUGCCUGCCCCAUAGGUACACCUCUGCACAUAUCAAAUGUAUGUGAUUUGACAAAAAAAUGUUUUUUAAUGGAAGGUUUGUGUAAAAAAAUUUUUUUAGAUCUGGCAACCCUUGUAACUACCAGAGACCCUGUGUUCCCCUGGAGCAGAGCUGGAAUGGUUUUAGGUAAAAAAGCGGGUUGUAGGGGGAGGGGCAGCGUGGGGUAGGAUGGUGUAGUGUGGGGUAUUGUGGCGUGGGGGCAGGGCUGUGGAUGUGUGGAUGGUGUCACUGAGAGGGUGAAUGAGCUGCAGAAGGAAGAGGACGGCGUGGAACUGAACAUUUUGCUAUGUUAGUGUGGAGACGCCUGGAAAUGAGAAGAUGUGGUAAAGAUGCACUGGUCGUCUGAGUGGGCAGAGCAACACUAUGACAUCACUUCCACCACGUCACCUCCUGCCCACCCUAAGCCUGUUUCAUAUCCGCAGCCCAGUCAUCCUGCUUUCACCGGAUAUUCUGACGAUAUCAGCGCCCUCAGCGCCUCCACCUUGCUGAAGCGCUAUGCUGAGAGGUAUUCCUUCACUCCGGUCUACCCGGAGCCCGGCGCAUUCCGAAGAAGUGAACCCGGCCAGGAUGCCUGGUCUAUGGGCUAUAACGCAGAUGGGAUCGAUGGAAUAAAAGGUUCUGUAGCGAGUGCAAGUAACCUUUCAGAGCAAUUCGGUAAUGGGGCCAUAUCUCAAGAUUAUACCUCCACCUACAGCGGGUCGCACUUGUACCCUCGACCCACUUACUUGCACCAGCCAGCUUUUGCCUUACCGCCAACCUACCAGACUCCUGCCCCAGUCUAUACCUAUCCCCCGGGUUUAACCAACCCUAGUUCUCCUUCCCUUCUACCACCUCUGAGCAGUGGCCUCCAACCCACCCACAGCACCCAGGUUCUGAAACGGUCCGAGCAGUUCCAGGAACAUAACAAGACUUUUGGAUUCGAUCUAAACAAAAGCACCAGAGUGUCACCUUAUACGGCAAGAGAUAACAGUGAGCAUCCCAUCAGCAAUGGCAUCCCAAAUAGCAGUGCAGAUCUUCAGAGCUUCAGGCCAGACAGGAUUCUCCCACAGCCAGUUAUGAAGGUAGACCUGGUAAGGAAGAGCAGUUAUUUACAGCCCUCAGAAACAGCGUCUUAUAAUGGUGCUGAGCAAUACACCUACCCCUAAUACACUUACCCUUGAUACACCUACCCCCGAUACACCUACCCCCGAUACACCUACCCCCGAUACACUUACCCCUGAUACACCUACCCUUUAUACACCUACCCCGAUACACCUACCCUUGAUACACCUACCCCUGAUACACCUACCCCUGAGAUGGCCCAAAAUAUGCAACGUAGUGGAGCGUUCGUAGAGCUUUGGUUUUAUCUGCAGAUCUUCACUCUCCAUUUGAACCUGAAUGAUGACAAAUGUUAGUUUUUAAAUUAGAUUUUAUUUUGAUGUUGGGAAUUUGUAAGGAAUUCAUGCUACAUAUUAUAUCACAUUUUAUGAUUCCCAGAUUACUACUACAAAUUGGUGUAUCAUAAUCACAAUCUUUUUCCAUAGCAGGAAUCUUCUUUUUUUUCUUUUUUUUUUUUUUUAAAAAAAAGGAAUUUUAGUCUUGUUUCAGCACAGUAACAUUUUCAGGAUUUAUUACUAGUGGAACCUGUUUCUAGAUCUAGGUCUGUCAUAAUAUCAAUAUAGUUUCUCACAAAUAUAUUGAUAUUCACAAACUGGCCCAAGCCCCAGACAGAAUCCCUAGUUGUCCCACUGUAAUGGUGACGUUGGUUUUAGGAGCCAUUUAAGUUCCUGUUUGGCGUACUGAACAUUGCUUCUAGGUCAUACACAAGCCAUGAUCUAUAGGCACAUUUUUGUCUCAGGAAUCUUUUCAGGAACUCAGGAAUUUUAAACGCAUUUCUACCACCACAAUGUAGAAAGGUUAAAAGGAACUUGUUUACUUUAGGAACAUUUCCACCGCAGGAACUUUUUUUAAAGAAUAUAGUUAUUAUUUAGGAAUAUGUGGUGCAUUAUCACCAGGGCAACCAGGGCCGAUUUGAGCCCUGGGCCGAGUCUUCCAUAGAAACAAUUGGCAUUGGCAUAGUGAACAUUACUGAUAGUUGCUCAACCUUCUUGUAUUUAGCUAGCAACUACAAAGACUUGAAGGGUGCAAACACGGCUAGUGAUUUUAACGUCACUUGAUGCAACAAAGACAGAACUAUUCAAGAAGAACUUCAGUCUCAGAAUCUCAGCUUCCUGCAUGUUUGCUGUGAUUUUGCCAGGCACUGAAGCGUUACACACCUACAUCUUGUUAUUCUCCCAUAUCAUGAACCCAAAACAAGAACCCAUCCAGGAGAUUUCUGAAUUUCAGAAGGUUCCUAAACCAUGGUGGAAACACAGCCUAUAUCCGUAGAGCCCUACAUUUCCUUUUCCUCAGACCGACUAUUGUUCUCUAACCCCCGCUCUGUAAGUAAUCAAUCAGUGCAGUGAAGCAUAAGCCACAGCAAGCACUAAUCCCCGAACCAAUCAAUAAAUUCUAGUCACACGUAAGGUGAAGACAGAAUGUUAAGGAGGGGAAGAAACCUGAUUAGACAUUUUAAAGAUGAAGUAAAUAGUCAGGUAUUUAUACUCAGGAAAAUACUCAGGAAAUUAACCCAUAAAAGUUUACAAGGCUUUCUUUUUUUUUUUUGUUUUAAAUAUGUGAUGUUUUAAUGGACACUACUUAUGUAUUCUAGACACAAACUCGCACAAAGAAUUAUGAGAAAUAUGCAGUUAGUGAAUCAGAAUGAGAGGAUACUCUGCAAAUCGUGAAUUAUCUCAGGAAUGACAGAAAAAAACAAACUAGAGGAAUGAAAAUGUCUUCUUUUUUUUGUUCAUUAAUGGUAAAAAAAAAACAAAAACGUUGUUCAUGCUCAGCUGUACAUCAUUAACACUUAGCUCAUUCAGCUAGUCUAAGAGCUAACAUAUCUGUCCUUCGAUUAUGUUUACAGUGAACACUUUACCAUUCAUUAAUUGGUCAUUUUUGGUAUUGAAUCAGAUGCACUGUUACUUAUAGAUCAUAACUGUUAUUAAUAUUGAAUUGUUCAGUGAAUUUGAUCGUGUUAAUCAUCUCACAAAAUGUUUUGUAUUACACAAAAUAGCAGAAAGAUACGAAACGUUUUCCUCUUUCUGCGGUUCCAUUUUUUAUUCCUCAGGAACACAAUGUCUUUGUGAUGUUUGAAGACACAUUAACUUACAUCUUUAUAUCAAUUUUUAUCAAAAAUUAGAUUUAAUUAGAUUUACAAACGGGUCAUAAAUGCUGUACGUGUGCUAAUUCUUAAGUUUGAAAUAAUACUUCUUAAGUUUGUGUGGUUGUAGUUUAAUAGUUGUAAAAAAAAAUAAAAAAAAACACUACCUCAUGUGCUUGUAUGUUAAUUUUUUUUAUUUGUAUUUUUUAAAUAUAAGGUGUCAUUACAAAUGGAUUUUUGUGUAUUUUUAAUUCUGAAAACGACUACUUCAGGCACCAUUCAUGCAAAAUAAAAUCUGUACUGAAAACAAUUCACGUGUAGCUUUUUAUUUUCCGGUUCACAGAAUUCUACACUAAUAAUUUAACCUUUAUAUAAAUAUAAGACAUUGUAUCUGAAUAUAUUAUAUUUGGGAAUGUGGCAGUGUUCAGAAUCAACUAGGGCUGCAACUAACUAUUAUUUUCAUAAUCGAUUAGUUGGCCAAUAAUUUUUUCGAUUAAUCGGAUUGGGGGCAAACUUCCAGUACCACUUUUUCAUUUAUUUAAAAUAAAAUGUGUGUUACAAAUAUAAACUUAAGACUAAAACUUUACACAAAUGUUGUAUAAGUCUGAAAAGACCAAUUAUAUAAGACUGAAAAGAACCCAGUAUACACACACACACACACACACACACACACACACACACACACCAGAAUAUAUAUUAUUAAUUUAGGACUGUAGUUUCAUUCAGUGCUUUUUUUUUUGCAUCUAUAAUUAAUUUGACUCUCUGAAUUAUCCUUUGUUUAUUUUAUCCAUCAAUGCGACACUUGAACUUCUCUAUCACUCAGGUUUUUGCAAAUUAUCAUUUCAUUUGUAAAUAAAUUUUAAAUAAAUCCAUCACUGAACAAUCGUCAGCUCAUGUGAUAUUUGUGAAUAACCAUGUUGAUUAAUUUUAAAACAUCUCAUUUGAAUGUUUUGAUACAUUUAACAACAAAAGAAAAUAUAUUAUUUAAACAUUUUUAAAACUUUCCUAUGGACCCCCUGCAAUUACACCACUGACCACUAGGGGUCCGCAAAAUCAUUGCACUAGAUGGUGGAGUACAUAGUGCAUAGUGUAAGUGUACAGUACCUCAUUUGGGACACAACUUUAGUAUUUACUCUCCAAAGCGUGUUUUCAGAACAGAAGUAACGUAAUGAGUUAAUGUACAGCGCGCAGAGCGACUAAUCCAUAAUCGAUUAUUAACGAUUUUAUCGAUUAGUUGUUGCAGCUUUAUAAUCAGUCAAUCACAUUCAAACUCAUAUUAAAUACUAAUUAGUGUACACCUGCCAUCAAUUAAAGUGACUGAUUAACUCCAAAUACAGUCCAGCUGUUCUUAUAGGAUUCUCCCGACAUCAUCUUAUUAACAUCCAACUGGAAAAGACCUGGCCCACAAAGAUCUUACAGAGCAGGUCCGGGAUCUCAUUGUUGGAAAAUAUCACUCAGGAGAGGGAUAUAAAAAUAUUUCCGAGGCAUCGGAUAUACCCUGGAACACUCUAAAGACAAUCAUCAACACGUGGAGAAAAUAUGACACGACGGUGACACUAAGAGCAGGACGUCCCUCUAAAACUGAUGAGAAGAUCAGGAGGAAGUGGUCAGGGAGGCUGCAGAGAGGCCUACAGAAACAUGAAGAGAUCUGCAGCGAUUACUGGCCAGUACUGGUUGCUCCCGACAUGUGAGAACAAUCUCCUGAAUUCUUCAUAUCUCUGGGUGAUGGGGUAGGGGGGCAAGACGAAAGCCUUUUUAACCAAAAAAAUAAAUAAUAAACACCUUCAAUCUACCAAAACCAUGUGGAAUACAAAUUAUUUACAGACCCUAAGGGCCAUAUUCUGAAUUACUUGGUGAAUCUUCAGAUUUUAUCUCAAAUCUGGUUGUUUCUUUAGACAAAGCUUUAAUUGUUGACAACUUUAAUAUUCAUUUUGAUAACCCAUUUUGAAGACCCUCUAAGAACAGUGUUUGUGUCUAGUCUAGAUUCAGUACGGGUCAAUCAGAACGUAAUAGGACCCACUCAUAAUGAUGGUCACACUCUUGACCUGAUACUAACAUAUGGAUUAUCUCAUCUCCUUUAAAUUGUGUUUUGAUCUGAAUAUUUACACCUCGUCACGCUACUGCGUCAAACGUACAUUCACGUCAGCUAUUGCACCGAGUUUCAUCAGUAACCUCCCAGAGAUAUCAGCUAUGACUGGGUUACCGUCUGAUCCCAUAGAAAUUGAUCAGGUGACUAAAUGCCAACGUUCCGCUACACGCUAGAUAAAGUAGCUCCAGGUUCGCUUAUUCACGCAAACUGUUCCAGUGACUUUUAGAUCCAAAGCUCCUGAGAUCUGUUUCAUCUGUUUAGCUCUUCAGAAAAUGAAGCUCCUGAGUGUCAGCAUGCAGUGUGACAGAUGUCCUAUUA